GCGGCGGUGGCGGAACUGGCAGACGCGCAAGAUUAAGGAUCUUGUGGACAAUUAUGUCCGUGGAGGUUCAAGUCCUCUUCGCCGCA
RNAcentral lists this transfer RNA (86 nucleotides) under Paucilactobacillus nenjiangensis. RNAcentral describes it as "tRNA-Leu". It matches the Rfam family "tRNA". Rfam says of the family: Transfer RNA (tRNA) molecules are approximately 80 nucleotides in length. RNAcentral also lists the same sequence under 1 other name. The record is from RNAcentral. Lineage: Bacteria; Bacillati; Bacillota; Bacilli; Lactobacillales; Lactobacillaceae.